Molecule: ribosomal RNA, 419 nt
Filed under: bacterium
Lineage: Bacteria
Description: partial 16S ribosomal RNA
Rfam family: Bacterial small subunit ribosomal RNA
Source: RNAcentral
UGGGGGAUAUUGCAUAAUGGGCGAAAGCCUGAUGCAGCGACGCCGCGUGGGGGAUGAAGGCCUUCGGGUUGUACACUUCUUUUGCUCUGAACAAGGCGCACCAUGGGGUGUGUUGAGUGUAGGGGUUGAUUAGCGCCGGCUAACUACGUGCCAGCAGCCGCGGUAAUACGUAGGGCGCGAGCGUUGUCCGGAAUUAUUGGGCGUAAAGGGCUUGUAGGUGGCUGGUUGCGUCUGUCGUGAAAGCUCAUGGCUUAACUGUGGGUUUGCGGUGGGUGCGGGCUGGCUUGAGUGCAGUAGGGGAGGCUGGAAUUCCUGGUGUAGCGGUGGAAUGCGCAGAUAUCAGGAGGAAUACCGGUGGCGAAGGCGGGUCGCUGGGCUGUUACAGACACUGAGGAGCGAAAGCAUGGGGAGCGAACAGG